This 497-nucleotide ribosomal RNA is filed under the name uncultured bacterium. RNAcentral describes it as "partial 16S ribosomal RNA". It matches the Rfam family "Bacterial small subunit ribosomal RNA", at positions 28 to 507 of the family's 1533-position model. The record is from RNAcentral.
GAUGAACGCUGGCGGCGUGCCUAAUACAUGCAAGUCGAGCGAACAGACGAGGAGCUUGCUCCUCUGACGUUAGCGGCGGACGGGUGAGUAACACGUGGAUAACCUACCUAUAAGACUGGGAUAACUUCGGGAAACCGGAGCUAAUACCGGAUAAUAUAUUGAACCGCAUGGUUCAAUAGUGAAAGACGGUUUUGCUGUCACUUAUAGAUGGAUCCGCGCCGCAUUAGCUAGUUGGUAAGGUAACGGCUUACCAAGGCAACGAUGCGUAGCCGACCUGAGAGGGUGAUCGGCCACACUGGAACUGAGACACGGUCCAGACUCCUACGGGAGGCAACAGUAGGGAAUCUUCCGCAAUGGGUGAAAGCCUGACGGAGCAACGCCGCGUGAGUGAUGAAGGUCUUCGGAUCGUAAAACUCUGUUAUUAGGGAAGAACAAAUGUGUAAGUAACUAUGCACGUCUUGACGGUACCUAAUCAGAAAGCCACGGCUAACUACGUG